Chelonoidis abingdonii (Abingdon island giant tortoise) is the source of this 1229-nucleotide non-coding RNA. NCBI's taxonomy places the organism in Eukaryota, Metazoa, Chordata, Testudines, Testudinidae. The record is from RefSeq and is a predicted model, not a curated record.
AAAGUAGAUGGGUAUUCACAAUAUUUUUCAUAAAAGGUAAAACAAAGAAAAGUGUACCAAAAAUUCCAUUUUGUAAAUCUGAUUCUUACAUGUGUAAACAUGGUGUGCCAAGAAAAACUUUUUCUCCUGUUUCUGGUUUUCCUAUCUUAAAUCAUGCCCAUAUUCCACUUUAGUUAUCUUGCAUUGUUAACUAUCUUGCAUAAUUUGAGUAGAUAAACAUUUUCAAUAACAAGAGUGGGAAAACAUUUAUCUGCGGCAGAAAUAGGGGGGGAAAACCUGCUUUUAUCCUAGUGUAUCAUUCCCUUUUAAGUAUAAGCAAAUAUUUGUACUUAAAAAUACUAUUAAAUUGUUUAGGCCCAGAAUUUCACUCAAGUUAAAAUUCUUGUAAACUGUAAAUAAUUGCAAACUGUACAUGUCUCCAGACUGUAGAUAUUUUUUAAAUGUAUCAUUGUUACUGGGAACUUUAAAAUUAAUUUUAUGUAUAACCUCACAAUUGUUGCUACUGAGAUUGCUUUUGUUAGUAAUGGGUACAUAGAUCAACACAUUCUGUUCUUAGAACUAUGCUGGCAUAGUAACAGACUGUGAACAAGAGAUGAAAAAUCUGUAUUUGCCAAUGGAAAAGGUCAAAUCUUACAGGAAGCUUCCAAGCCUCUUUUUCUAGAUUAGGGUAGGUUUUCAAAAAUUUCCCACUUACACUUUCAGUUCCACCAUCUUGGGCAAGAUUGAGCACCUUCAUUUGAUUGUCUACCAGUGAUCACUGUUUUAAAACACCAUAUUGAUUAUACCUGCUCUGAGCAAAGUUGCAUAAUGUAGUGCUUUAAAAUCAGGCACACUUUCUAUGGUGUACUGCAGAGGUCUUCCAAAAGUUGCUAACAUAGAACUCAACUGGUAUUGGGAAAGCCACAUCAUUUUUUAAAAAAAUAAAACAGGAUGAGGGUACAAUAUUACCAACAGCGUUUGUACAAAGAACAAACUCCAUCUUCUGUGCACAUGAGGUGUUAGUACAGUGCCUGGACUUGCACAUUCUAGAGCAGAUACUAGGAAAUGACAUGUCAAACAGACAUUUUCUAAAGUCUGUGCACAGGCCUUUGUGCUUAUCUUGGUAGGUAAGCAUACCUAGAAGAGAGCCUGCAUUUUCUUAAAAGGAGAUCAGCUAGUCCUUAAAAACUUGCCAUGGGAAUUUAAUUUUAACUCAUUUAUGUAUGUGUGUAUAUAUACAUGUGUAUGUA